RNAcentral lists this ribosomal RNA (468 nucleotides) under uncultured bacterium. Its description in RNAcentral is "bacterial SSU rRNA". It matches the Rfam family "Bacterial small subunit ribosomal RNA", at positions 28 to 507 of the family's 1533-position model. The record is from RNAcentral.
GAUGAACGCUGGCGGCGUGCUUAACACAUGCAAGUCGAACGGACUUUACAUGAAACCUAGUGAUUGUAAAGUUAGUGGCGGACGGGUGAGUAACGCGUGAAUAACCUGCCUUAUACUGGGGGACAACAGCUGGAAACGGCUGCUAAUACCGCAUAAGCGCACAGCUUCGCAUGGAGCAGUGUGAAAAACUCCGGUGGUAUAAGAUGGAUUCGCGUCUGAUUAGCCAGUUGGCGGGGUAACGGCCACCAAAGCGACGAUCAGUAGCCGGCCUGAGAGGGUGAACGGCCACAUUGGGACUGAGACACGGCCCAAACUCCUAACGGGAGGCAGCAGUGGGGAAUAUUGCACAAUGGGGGAAACCCUGAUGCAGCGACGCCGCGUGAGUGAAGAAGUUAUUCGUAACGUAAAGCUCUAUCAGCAGGAAAGAUUAUGACGGUACCUGACUAAGAAGCCCCGGCUAACUACGUG